This is a long non-coding RNA of Branchiostoma floridae (Florida lancelet), 648 nucleotides long. RefSeq lists it as uncharacterized. The transcript has 6 exons. Lineage: Eukaryota; Metazoa; Chordata; Leptocardii; Amphioxiformes; Branchiostomatidae. The record is from RefSeq and is a predicted model, not a curated record.
UCCGUUUCCGGUUGACAGCUGGCAUUUCCGUUUGGAGGGCUGCCGUGGUACAGGUACAGGUACAGGUAAGUCUGUACAGGUGAGGUGCAAUCAUGCGGACGUGGAUGAUACUUCUCGCGGUCUGCCUAGCCGUGCUGCCCCAGCAGACGCAUGCGGCUACUGAAUACCACAGCGCCAGGGUAGAGAGUUGCAGUGGAUGACGCUUGAACAAGCUCCCAGAGGUGAAGAAGUUCAUCAAACAGGUGCUACCUCAAUUUCACCGUGUGGAGUACAAGGCCAUUCCUGGGAAGAGUCCUGAGCUACUGUUGUUAGAUCAGGAUGGAGAACAGCUGGAGGUGAUUGACCUAGCACCAAUGAAAACAGUCGAAAUCACAGAUCUCCUUCUUGAGAAAGGCUUCACCAUGAAGGAAGAUGCUGAUGCCGCAGAGGAUGUUGGAAAAGGCGAACUAUAAACUCUUUUAUUUCCAGUGAAACUGAUGUCACCUGCUGACCCUUACCUGUGGCUGUCCUGGAGCUGAGGCGCACAUGAAACUGUCAACUGAAAGUUCCCGGUUGGCGGUGGAGAAAAUUAGCCAGGAGCUCGAGGGCAUCCUACAAUACAAGAAGUCGGCUGCAGUGACCUUCAAUAAAGUCACAUUCCAGACUUAA